AAUCUUGAGAGUCUCAUCAAGAGCCUGAUGGGGUUUAUUUUAUUGUGAAACCACUACUGCCCAGGGUAUGGCUGUGCUGGCUCUGCCCCCUUAGGAAAGGGGCUUUCCUACAGCAUUGGGAAGUUUGGUCCCUCUCAAAUCCAUCCUGACAGAGGGCUCCCUGCACCCAUGAUCCCUGGAAGGAAUGAAAAUAAUCCAGCAGUGCUAUAAAACAAACAUUCAGCCUCCAUAAGAGCACACCCCAGGUUACUGCCCAAAUUGCUGGCUGAGGAGGGGCAGCACCUCCUCCCUCAGCACAGAAACCAAAUUUGCCCCAUUUGAAUGAUUAACAGUGAAACACUUCCCACAUGUCAGCUUUUACUGGCAACAUUUACAGAAAAAUAAAAAAAAUCAGUAGUUGAACAUAUUUCUCAUCUUUACUCUUUUGCAUAGAAUAAACAAAAAUAUAAUUUCAAAAUUUAAAUGAAAGGGAAAUGGGGAUUAACCAGGCAGUAAGUGAAAGCAAGCUGCAGCCUUGAGCACAUUUGUAAUUAGGCAAGUUACAAACACUUCAGUAAUGAGAAGGAUAAUAGAAAUUCUGACAGGUCCUGUGCUGGAGAGAGCUUGUGGGCACCACUGUAAUAAAUGAACAGAGAUCUAUUUGAUUUUUUGUUAGAAGUGAAAAGCCCCAAGAGUUCUGUGUUACUUCCUUUAGUGCUUAGUGAUGCUGUUUGUAUGAGACCUUCCCCUACAUUUUAAAUCACUCAUUGCUGCUUUGGCAGUGUCUGUUAGAUUCCAUUAGAUUCAUUAGCUCUUCUAAAGAGCAUUGCUCUGUGGAAAUAGCUGAAACAGCUGCCCUGUGUAAUUUUGUUAUUGCUUUAAUUUACUCAGAAUUCUGUUUUAACACUCCAGCUGUUAAAUAUAAAGAGGAAAAAACAAUCAAUAUAAAAGCACUUUCUACCUCAGUAUUCUUAUGUGUACAGUUUGGGGGAAGAUGGCUGAGAAACUAAACAAAUGUAAGGCUCUUUUUGUUAUUUUCCAGGAGAUUUCUUGGAGCUGCUGAAAGUAGAUAGCACUUCUGAAAAUGUCAAUGAUGGAGCACUUCACUGUGGGGAAUAAGGGAUAAGGUUUUACUGAGCAUCUCUGUGCACUGCAGACCUGCUGCUGGAAAUGGACCAACUGGGGAAUAACUAAAGCUAGAGAGAGCUGCAUCUGCUGAACUGAGACUGGAAUUUGGCACCUGUAGCCUCAUCCUGAUCAAAAAGGAACCCCUGCACAAAAGAGAGGUGUGUGAGAAUCCCCACAGAGCAAUAAAUACCGGAGGAAUUCUUUGCCUGAGAGUCUUUCCUUACUUUACUGCUACUCACCAGUCUGUUUGGGACAUGGUUGCUUACAUUAUUAACAAGGCUGGAUUUAAGCAAUUUGUCUACUCAUUGGACACUUAGAAUGGACCCGUCCUUUUAGAAGAUAUAUCUAGCUACAGCCAAAAAUAGCUCAAUAGAGAUAACUCGUUUUUGAAGUUUGUUGUUUGAAAUACAGUAAUUAGAUUUAAUUAUUUAGAUGGCUUCUUCAUGUAUCCCCAAGAAGUCC
This is a long non-coding RNA of Passer domesticus (house sparrow), 1569 nucleotides long. RefSeq lists it as uncharacterized. The transcript has 3 exons. The record is from RefSeq and is a predicted model, not a curated record. Lineage: Eukaryota; Metazoa; Chordata; Aves; Passeriformes; Passeridae.